This 497-nucleotide unclassified non-coding RNA is filed under the name Salicornia iranica. RNAcentral describes it as "partial external transcribed spacer". Lineage: Eukaryota; Viridiplantae; Streptophyta; Magnoliopsida; Caryophyllales; Amaranthaceae. The record is from RNAcentral.
UGUAGGGGUGCAUGUAGGCACGGUCCUUGUGAUGCGGUACGUGAUGGUGUGUGAGUGGUAUUUGGUUUGUGUGGUUGGCGGGCUCUUUGCUUGUGCAUUGGACCGUUCACCAACAUACCUUUUCAUUGUAUGCUGCAAGUGCACCAUUUUGCCUUGGGCGACGUGUGGUCCCUAUGUUGGAUUCCGAUUAACGGUAUUGUUGUUGUCCCUUUAAAGAGUGAUAUUCGCUCUACGUCCGUAAAAGGAGGUCGAGCGGACCAUGAAACUUGACUCGUUAUCCUCCUGUUUUGUGAAAACAAGCAUGAUAGGGUUGGAKUAUGAUCUCAAGUUGGGCCCUAGGAUACAGAAAGUUGUGUGGGAGUUGAUGUAAAAACGUCGCAAACCCAAAGCGUUGGUACGCUAAUGAUGGAUGACAUUCGAGUGUGUUGUGAUUCUUUCAUUCUAGAAAGGUUCAUGCUCGCCGAUGUCGACCAAGGAGUGCUACCUGGUUGAUCCUG